RNAcentral lists this ribosomal RNA (449 nucleotides) under uncultured bacterium. RNAcentral describes it as "bacterial SSU rRNA". It matches the Rfam family "Bacterial small subunit ribosomal RNA", at positions 28 to 477 of the family's 1533-position model. The record is from RNAcentral.
GAUGAACGCUGGCGGCGUGCUUAACACAUGCAAGUCGAACGGAGCACUUGAAUGGAAUUCUUCGGAAGGAAGCUCAAGUGACUGAGUGGCGGACGGGUGAGUAACGCGUGGGUAACCUGCCUCAUACAGGGGGAUAACAGUUAGAAAUGACUGCUAAUACCGCAUAAGCACACGUGAUCGCAUGAUCGAGUGUGAAAAACUCCGGUGGUAUGAGAUGGACCCGCGUCUGAUUAGCUAGUUGGUGGGGUAAUGGCCCACCAAGGCGACGAUCAGUAGCCGGCCUGAGAGGGUGAACGGCCACAUUGGGACUGAGACACGGCCCAAACUCCUACGGGAGGCAGCAGUGGGGAAUAUUGCACAAUGGGGGAAACCCUGAUGCAGCGACGCCGCGUGAAGGAUGAAGUAUUUCGGUAUGUAAACUUCUAUCAGCAGGGAAGAAAAUGACGGUA